Molecule: long non-coding RNA, 768 nt
Filed under: Physcomitrium patens
Lineage: Eukaryota; Viridiplantae; Streptophyta; Bryopsida; Funariales; Funariaceae
Description: long non-coding RNA (PPAT_LNC004034)
Source: RNAcentral
CCUUCAAUGCAAGUUGUUUAAAGAUACUAAGCACUUCCACAAACGUUGUUCACUAUUGAACACAUAAAUUAACUAAAUGGAAUUCAGAUUAUCUGAACCUACAAUUACAUCUUGUUCCAACAGCCGUCUCUAGAAAGUAUACAUGAAGGUAAGAGUUAGCAUAGGUUCUCUCCCGACACAUCUGAAGGCGAUGAUUGGAUGGUUUGAAUUGUAGGAGAGCCUACAGGUGAUGUCUGAGUAGCUGCUGAAGCGGUGGCGGGGACCGAGAAAAUGUGACUUGGAGCAACGAGCAGAGGUGUUGUCUCUGUAGCUGAUGGAUGAACAGGUGCUGAGCUUGCAUCCUGCUUGCAUAUUGGACAAAAACGUCUCCGCGUGAGUAGCCACUGGUCUAUACAGCCGACGUGAAAGUCUGCACAUGAGACGAUAAUUAUUGCAGAUUUCAGUGCCCAAAAACCUCUAUUGAAAGUUGAAUAGAUAACCAUACCACGAAUGCCUGCAUCAGCAACGAGAGGUCCUAUAACUACUAACUAAUAUCUGACGAAAAAUUAUCUCGAUCUUGUGACAGAUAGGCAUGCAAAUCUUUUAUGGAAAGCAUUAAAGAGACAUUUAAAAUGCCCAUUUACUGCUGGAUUAGGCUACAUCACACGAGCAAGAUUUAGUUCGUUAGAGCAACAAACCAUGCUGACAAGGUAAGAGUCGCAGUUUUUCUCCACUCUCAUAGUCCUCCAAGCAGAUAGCACACAUCUCUCCAGUAGCAGCUCCUCCAAC